This 433-nucleotide ribosomal RNA is filed under the name uncultured bacterium. Its description in RNAcentral is "partial 16S ribosomal RNA". It matches the Rfam family "Bacterial small subunit ribosomal RNA", at positions 29 to 507 of the family's 1533-position model. The record is from RNAcentral.
AGCGAACGCUGGCGGCAGGCCUAACACAUGCAAGUCGAACGAACUCUUCGGAGUUAGUGGCGGAUGGGUGCGUAACACGUGGGAACGUGCCUUUUGGUUCGGAAUAACUCAGGGAAACUUGUGCUAAUACCGAAUGUGCCCUUCGGGGGAAAGAUUUAUCGCCAUUAGAGCGGCCCGCGUCUGAUUAGCUAGUUGGUGAGGUAACGGCUCACCAAGGCGACGAUCAGUAGCUGGUCUGAGAGGAUGACCAGCCACACUGGGACUGAGACACGGCCCAGACUCCUACGGGAGGCAGCAGUGGGGAAUCUUGCGCAAUGGGUGAAAGCCUGACGCAGCCAUGCCGCGUGAAUGAUGAAGGUCUUAGGAUUGUAAAAUUCUUUCACCGGGGACGAUAAUGACGGUACCCGGAGAAGAAGCCCCGGCUAACUUCGUG